UACGGAGGGUGCAAGCGUUGUCCGGAUUUAUUGGGUUUAAAGGGUGCGCAGGUGGCCCGGUCAGUCAGUGGUGAAAUGCGGCCGCUCAACGGUCGAACUGCCAUUGAUACUGCCGGGCUUGAGGGGAGUGGAGGCCGCCGGAACGGACGGUGUAGCGGUGAAAUGCGUAGAUAUCGGCCAGAACGCCGAUUGCGAAGGCAGGUUGCUAGGCUACAACUGACACUGAGGCACGAAAGCGUGGGGAGCGAACAGG
RNAcentral lists this ribosomal RNA (253 nucleotides) under uncultured bacterium. Its description in RNAcentral is "partial 16S ribosomal RNA". It matches the Rfam family "Bacterial small subunit ribosomal RNA", at positions 524 to 776 of the family's 1533-position model. The record is from RNAcentral.